This 1332-nucleotide ribosomal RNA is filed under the name uncultured organism. RNAcentral describes it as "16S ribosomal RNA". It matches the Rfam family "Bacterial small subunit ribosomal RNA", at positions 70 to 1421 of the family's 1533-position model. The record is from RNAcentral.
GAAGUUUCCUUCGGGAAACGGAUUAGCGGCGGACGGGUGAGUAACACGUGGGUAACCUGCCUCAUAGAGUGGAAUAGCCUUCCGAAAGGAAGAUUAAUACCGCAUAACGUUGAAAGAUGGCAUCAUCAUUCAACCAAAGGAGCAAUCCGCUAUGAGAUGGACCCGCGGCGCAUUAGCUAGUUGGUGGGGUAACGGCCUACCAAGGCGACGAUGCGUAGCCGACCUGAGAGGGUGAUCGGCCACAUUGGGACUGAGACACGGCCCAGACUCCUACGGGAGGCAGCAGUGGGGAAUAUUGCACAAUGGGGGAAACCCUGAUGCAGCAACGCCGCGUGAGUGAUGAAGGUUUUCGGAUCGUAAAGCUCUGUCUUUGGGGAAGAUAAUGACGGUACCCAAGGAGGAAGCCACGGCUAACUACGUGCCAGCAGCCGCGGUAAUACGUAGGUGGCGAGCGUUAUCCGGAUUUACUGGGCGUAAAGGGAGCGUAGGCGGAUGAUUAAGUGGGAUGUGAAAUACCCGGGCUCAACUUGGGUGCUGCAUUCCAAACUGGUUAUCUAGAGUGCAGGAGAGGACAGUGGAAUUCCUAGUGUAGCGGUGAAAUGCGUAGAGAUUAAGAAGAACACCAGUGGCGAAGGCGACUCUCUGGACUGUAACUGACGCUGAGGCUCGAAAGCGUGGGGAGCAAACAGGAUUAGAUACCCUGGGUAGUCCACGCCGUAAACGAUGAAUACUAGGUGUGGGGGUUUCAACACCUCCGUGCCGCCGCUAACGCAUUAAGUAUUCCGCCUGGGGAGUACGGUCGCAAGAUUAAAACUCAAAGGAAUUGACGGGGACCCGCACAAGUAGCGGAGCAUGUGGUUUAAUUCGAAGCAACGCGAAGAACCUUACCUACACUUGACAUCCCUUGCAUUACUCUUAAUCGAGGAAAUCCCUUCGGGGACAAGGUGACAGGUGGUGCAUGGUUGUCGUCAGCUCGUGUCGUGAGAUGUUGGGUUAAGUCCCGCAACGAGCGCAACCCUUGUCGUUAGUUACUACCAUUAAGUUGAGGACUCUAGCGAGACUGCCUGGGUUAACCAGGAGGAAGGUGGGGAUGACGUCAAAUCAUCAUGCCCCUUAUGUGUAGGGCUACACACGUGCUACAAUGGCUGGUACAGAGAGAUGCAAUACCGCGAGGUGGAGCCAAACUUAAAAACCAGUCUCAGUUCGGAUUGUAGGCUGAAACUCGCCUACAUGAAGCUGGAGUUACUAGUAAUCGCGAAUCAGAAUGUCGCGGUGAAUACGUUCCCGGGUCUUGUACACACCGCCCGUCACACCAUGAGAGUUGGCAAUACC